RNAcentral lists this ribosomal RNA (229 nucleotides) under uncultured bacterium. RNAcentral describes it as "partial 16S ribosomal RNA". It matches the Rfam family "Bacterial small subunit ribosomal RNA", at positions 568 to 796 of the family's 1533-position model. The record is from RNAcentral.
UGCGUAGGCGGCGCGGUAAGUCAGAUGUGAAAUCCCGGGGCUCAACCCCGGAACUGCAUCCGAUACUGCCGCGCUCGAGGGCUGGAGAGGAGACUGGAAUUCACGGUGUAGCAGUGAAAUGCGUAGAUAUCGUGAGGAACACCAAUGGCGAAGGCAAGUCUCUGGACAGCUUCUGACGCUGAGGCACGAAGGCUAGGGGAGCGAACAGGAUUAGAUACCCUGGUAGUCC